Hemicordylus capensis (graceful crag lizard) is the source of this 5603-nucleotide long non-coding RNA. RefSeq lists it as uncharacterized. Lineage: Eukaryota; Metazoa; Chordata; Lepidosauria; Squamata; Cordylidae. The record is from RefSeq and is a predicted model, not a curated record. The transcript has 8 exons.
CUGAAGUCUCUGGAUACCAGGUGGAUACCAGGAGUCUAGGGAUAAACAAUAAGAGUUCCUCUCACUGGCCAUCGCCGGAAAUAGGAUGCUGGAACUAGAUGGAUCCUGACUCUGAUCCAGCAGAGCUCUACAUAUGAAACUUGACAAGCAAGGGAAGGAGUGAUGUCCUGUUUCAUUUCCCUCUAUUUCAUAUGCUGACUAAUGAAGGAAGAAGGGGGCAGGAUUUCUGCAUUUUCCUCAUUUUUCAAUUAUAGCCAUCAUUUCCCCCAACUGGCUACAGCUGCCAAAAAAUAAAAUAAAAAUAAAAAGGCAUCAAGUUAAGGAUCGGAUAACUUAAUGAAACAAUGAAAGGAGCCUAAUGUUUUCACAUUAGAUGCCAAUUCUGCUAAAUCUUCAAAGAUCCCCUUUCCCUUUCCCUUUCCUCUUCCUUCUCCUCCUUCUCCUCCUUUUUGGAAAACCUCUUUUAGGAACUGGCAGCCAGGUUUCUAGGAAGAGGCAACUCAUCAGCAGCUGAAAUGUCCUUUACUGUCACUAAAAUUGCUGUGAAAGCUUUGGUUUGGUUAAGCAUUCAAAUCAGCAUAAUGCAUGUGCCUCUUUCCUCCUAAUGAUUUAUGAUAGUAAAAAGGGAAAUGAAAUGAUAAAAACCUGAACAUAUGGACCACCUACAAAUAGUGGCAAAUUGCCGGAGAAAGGGCUAAAGCUAUAAUUCAACAUUAGCAGCAGUUCUAUAGUCGUUCUCUUGCUAGUAGGGCCUCGUUUGCAUGCUUCACUCCGAGUGUCCUCUGAUAGCAGAUUGGCAACUCAUCUCGGUCACAGCCAUCAAGAGAACAUGAAAUAAUGGUUCCAAAACCCUACAAAGGACCCAUCUAGUGCAAUUAGAGUUGAUACUUGGCAUGGUGGUGUGUCCUUAACCAUCAGUUAUGGACUGAUGAGGUAGUACCACAGUGAGGUGGUAAACCUGUGUCUGGGCACAUAGGUAUGUGCAGGGUGUCAGUAAUAGGAGUGCAUCACAGGGCCAGCAACACAUGUCAGGAAGGAGAGGGGUGUGUGUGUGUGUGUGUGUGUGUGUGUGUGUGUGUGUGUGUGUGUGAUGAUUUAAACUAGUAUUUGGAGCAUGUGUUUAGGGCCCAUUCAGAUGAACAGCCCUCCACAUGCAAUCAAGGAGUACACCAGGAGGGUGUUGGGAUGUCCAUAGAGGAUGCCCCGAUGGACACAUUCUCAGCACAUGCCCUCCUACUUCACGUGUGCUGGGGCCAGUAUUGUUUGAACCAGCCUACUGAGUAUUUAAAAUAUAACAUUAAAGGGCUGGACAAUAGUGUCUAUUGUAAUUUUUGCUGUGUCAGUCAGAAGAUAAUGGGGUACAGAUGCACCCCCUUAAUCCUCCUCAAGCUUGCCUAUGUCUGGGCAGCAUCACAUCAGACUGCAGGUGACAUGCUUCUUCAUACAAAAAAUUCCUUUCACAUAGAAAACUAGCCUAGUUUUCUGUGUGCAAAGAAUGUUUUGCAUGGAAGACCAUUCAUGUCGAUCCCUACUAGGGAUGUGCACAAAACCCGUUUGCCCUAGGGAUGUGCACAAAACCGGUAAUAGUCUACAGACUGCAAGUAUUUUGCAGUUGCAGUCUGUAGACUAUUACUUUCCCUGCAGGGGAACACACUGUGCACUGAUAACCUUAACUGCUUAAUGACUGACCUGAGGUCAGCAAUUAGGUCAGUGAAAGUGUUUCUCCAAAAUCCGCAACCUGAAAAAUGGAAGGGAAAUAUAAAUACAUUUAAAAAUUCAUAUCUUAAGAACUAAAAAUCACAGGGAUUUGGGGGUGCCUGGGAUGGCUUGAGGCCAUCCCUGCCAUGCCCCCAGACCCACUUUGGGGUGCCCUGCCACCUCCAAAGGGGGGUUUGGGGUUGCCCCACAUCCCCAUUAUUCCUUAAGGGGAAUAUAUUUUAAAAAUUCACCAUUAAUAGUCGGAGCACCCAAUUGCCUUGGGGUUUGGUGAGUGGUAGGCACACCUGGGUGCCUACCACCCACCCCACUUUUGCACCCCUAGAUACUCCACAUAGGGAAUAAUGGGCAAUAAUAAAAAUUUUAAAAAUUCAUAAAAAAUUGGAGUGUUUGAUUGCUUUGGGGUUUGGGUGGUAGUUGGCAUCCAUGGGUGCCUACCACCCAAACCAGCUUUGGAGGCUCAAACUGGUUCAAACCAAUUCAAAUUGGUUCAAAUUGAACCAGGCUCAGUUUGGUUCGAAUUCGAACCAGCAGGUUGAACCCAAUGCGGUUCAAAUUUGAACCAUCGAACCAAACUGGUUCAAAUUCAAACUGAUCUGCACAUCCCUAAUCCCUACUUGCAGCCUGAAGUAGUUGUCCUGUCAGGGGACUGCCAGAUCAGCCCUACAAGUGGCUACCUGAAAGGUCCAGAGGCAUGUAAGGAGUCCAGAUCAGGCCAAAGUCGAGCUCUGGAGCAGUGAGUAAAAAUCUGGAGGAUCAGAGACAGAUAUGUGACCAUAGUCAGGUGAAGGUCGAGUCCCAGCUGAGGAGGGGCAAGGCAAGGCACUGGGAGUUUGUCUUGUUACAGUGGCUCAGACUGAUGAGCCAAAUCUGAACCAGAGGUUGUGUACAGUGAUCCAGACCCCUGUUGGCUUCUGCUCACAGCAAGAACUCUGGGAGGACUGUGGAAGCUGACCAGGGAGACUGAAGGGAAGGCAGGACUGUACCAAGGAGCACUAGAAUCGACCCACUCUUGGGAGAUACAUUGCUGACUCACUACACUUGAUGAGAGCAAGCCUCAUCCAGGGAGGGAGUUACAAGGAAGUGCGCAGGCAGAGAGAGCCAGAAGACAGCAAGACAGGAAGGAGGUUGGCCCAGACCUAUGUUACAUUGGCACAGAGGGUGGUAGGCCUGACAAUACAAGCCCACCAUCAGGGCAUAUCUGGAGGAAGUGGCAGGAAGGUUUCCCAUUACAGCAGAUGGGUGAUAUGGGAAGAAGCUGUGAUGUAACAGACCUGGAACUGCCUACCACAAGACAAAAGAUGCAACUGUGUGCCGCAGUAUCACCAGUAAAGCAGCAUUUUGGCAUCAAGGCAGCACUUUUCGAUCUGAAAUAAAAGGUCCCCUGCAGUCAGGAAGAUGGAGAUGGACUGAGCUUUGCUAGCUUGUAGUUGCACUUGUCAAAAGAUUUUGAGAUGAAUCGAACUGGCAACUGAGGAGAAGAUAGAUCAAAAAAAGAAAACUACACUGUCACAGAAGAACAAUACACAAUAAUAGCAUGGGAAUACAAACGGAUGAGCCUCAAGCCUCACCAAUGACUGACUGCAAUUUUAGUCAAACCAUUCCCUCCUGUAACCUAACAACAGAAUAUUGAAGAUUUGGCCUAAGAGGUAAAGGGGUCCAGCCCCCUUCUUCCUUCUGUAUUUAAAACACUAAGUUUGGAGCGGGAUGGGGAGUUGGAAAGAGAUUGUAUCUUUAUAUGUCAUGAUUGUAAUUAACCACCAGCAGGGCCUUUUCGGGGGUGGGGGCAAUUGACGUGGGCCUUACACAUAGAGGCACCCUCAUCCAAAGGUAUGGUUCAGUAUUUGAAAUGAGCAGAUCAAUCGUUUUCAUUCAAAGCAGUAACACUAAUCAGUUAAAAUAUAACUCCAGGACCAAGAGUUAUUUCAGUAUUUUGGACUAUUACACUAAUACAGAAUGCAGUCGCAGACAUAUUGUGCCAUGUUGCACAUGCACCAGUUGUGCGACAGUACAGCCAUUAUAUGUUUCCACAAUUUUUGCACUUGCACAACGUCACAAACUGAACAUUGCACAGUAUGUCAGCUGGAGAUAAGAAUGUGGGGGGUGGGGUGGGGGGCUCAAAUGAGCAUUCUGCCCCUAGGCCUCUCAGAGUCUUAAAAAGACCCUGAUCACUGGUGCAUCGGAAGUGGCAUCCCUUUAAUGAUCUGGCUUAUCAAAGUGGCUCCUUUGCUUUUCCCCCUCACUGUUUCAGUAUUUGCUGAGAGAGAGAAAUCCAGUUAUGAAACUGAUAUCAUAUCCUUAUGUGCAAAUUGUACUGCUUUCCCUGGACUCCAUCAUUAGAAGGCAGCAUGCAUGUUUGUUGCUCCCCUGGCACAAAGCCAGAGUCGCAAAAGCAAUAUAAAUAGGAUGGGUCUCUGCAAAGCAGCACUCAUUGGAGAACCAGCGGCACCUAAUUUCAGUUGAAAGUAGAGUAUAGCCCAAGGUAAAAUGAGUUCCAUACAUGAUGAUUUACUCUCUCUCUCUCUCUCUCUGCACCCCACCCCCAACAUUUAAUUAGACUCUGAGAGAGCCAAAGAGAGAGACACUCUAUGCUACACAGAAUGUGUUGCUGUAGCUUGUUUACUUUAAUGAUAAGGAUUUUGUAUUGGGUUGCAGUAAUUGGUAUCAAAAGAGAAAUGUCUGGACUGAACAAAACUGAUGCCCCUUAACUAUUUCUUCUUUAUUUUCCCCACUGACUGGCUUUCUGAGCCGAUACAUGGUAUGAAUAGUCAUAGUGCCGAAGGAAAAUCUUACAAAUGUCCCCAUUCCAUCAGCACAGGAGUUAUAACCCUUUUCAAGACUGAAUAUUUUUUUAAAAUGCAGCUCAAUUAUUUAUCUGCUGUGUCUAGAUGAGAUGCGACAUUACUUACUUCUGACUACCAUAUCAAGUCUGAAACAACACACGGUUCUGCGCAGAUCCUUGAAAAACGGUUGUGAUGAAUGGGUUAAGAUAUGAUCAGCAAGCCAUCAAGUUUGAUGCACUGUUCUUUAUUGCGCCCAUCUUUCAAAUGCUAGUGUGCUAAGGCAGUGGACAGGCAAGAACAGGAUCCCUCUUCCAGCCACAAAGUAGCCACAAAGUAGACCUUGUGAAAGAAAAAGAUGCAAGAAGCUUCAUGUAUCUUGCUGGAGAAGAGCUUCACACUAAAUUACCUAUCCAAAGUGGUCCAGAUAUUUCACAGUGGCAGGACUGAUAGGCCAUAAAAUGUACUGUGACCAUCCUAGAAGAGGCUUAUAGCAUGUACAUAAAAACUACAGUCUUGAAACUGCUCUCUUCUGUUAAUAGACUGUAUUUUGGGCAGCUCUUCAGAAUUCAAUUGUUGGUAACAGUCCCCAUACCCCAGUAAUUUAACAUGGGAAGACUGGUAAGAGAUAACUUACCUAAGUUGGUAAGAUGAUAUCUAGAGGAAUGAAGUUUUUGGGGUUUUUUUUAAGGAAUGAGUUUUAUUAAAAUGAACCAUUCUACAAGGCACUUGUAACAACCAUUUACAAUUUACAUACAAGCAUGAAAGACAUCAAAAUAAUAUAAAAAUUACAAAAGUUAUGCAUUACAUGGCAAGAAAAAUGGAUUCUAAGAAGAAUGCAUAAAGAUAUAGUAAUGAUACAGUAAAGAGACAGCAGAAUGUUACAUUACAUGUGUUACAUAGGUUUAUACACUGGCUGAUACAUUUCAGAGAAUAGACAUCUAUCAUCACAACUAUCAGAAAGCAAAAUAAAUAAAUAAUAAUAAAUUGGGUUGGAGUUUGAUUGGUUGACGUUCAUACUGACACAGCGAUCUUUCAAAGGAUAGAGAAGGAAGCAGGCCCUCCAUUCAUUUCUGCCGGUCAUUCCACCUUUACUUGAGCAUACGA